Molecule: transfer RNA, 71 nt
Filed under: Patescibacteria group bacterium
Lineage: Bacteria
Description: tRNA-Gln
Rfam family: tRNA
About the family: Transfer RNA (tRNA) molecules are approximately 80 nucleotides in length.
Source: RNAcentral
UGCCCUGUAGUGAAAUGGCAUCACAAUUGACUCUGAAUCAGUUAUUCUAGGUUCGAAUCCUAGCAGGGCAU